RNAcentral lists this long non-coding RNA (685 nucleotides) under Brassica rapa (field mustard). Its description in RNAcentral is "long non-coding RNA (BRAP_LNC004353)". Lineage: Eukaryota; Viridiplantae; Streptophyta; Magnoliopsida; Brassicales; Brassicaceae. The record is from RNAcentral.
GCAUCACCCCCGAUCUGACGCUGGAGCCGACGCACCUCAGAGGAUUUGGCCUUCCUGGCCUUCUUCUCCUUAAGCAAGGAACUCGCCGUCUUCCCGAGGUCCCUCUCGAGCUCCCCUAUCGCGACCUCGAGCUUAGACACUUUCGCGGAAUGAGAAUCCUUGACAGCCGUCAGCAUGGCCUCGGUUUCAGACCAUCUACCCUGAAGCUCCACCAACUCCCCGGCAAGACGACUGGUCUCAGAACCGCACUGGCUGAUCAUCCCAUCGAUCAACGACAUGAACUGCAAACAAUUUUUUUUUUUUUAAGACUUAAGUCCGAGAAAGAAUGUUCAUAAAACAAUCGAGAAUUCAAGUGAGCGACAAACCUUUCCGCGAAGUCCCGACGCUAGGCUCGAUCCUCCUUGCUGCGAAGAUUCUCCGUCACCACUCUUGGCAAGCUUCCUCUUCCGGCUCUUAGGCGGAGCAACGGGAACAGCACUAGGAGCACGCAACGCUAGAAAGAUUUCUUUCCUGGCCGGAGGAGGAGGCAUAGAGUCAGCGGCCCUCUCCUUGUCCUCGACAAGGAUUGGAGUCGUGGACAAACUGGCAGGUAGAGCUUGAGCGUCUGGAAUGCCCGAGCCGGCAAGAGUUCUUAUGUCUUGCGGAAUCACGACCUCGGUCCCAUGUCCCGGGGCAACAACCCGCG